RNAcentral lists this transfer RNA (75 nucleotides) under Pseudomonas fluorescens. RNAcentral describes it as "tRNA-Cys". It matches the Rfam family "tRNA". From Rfam's summary of the family: Transfer RNA (tRNA) molecules are approximately 80 nucleotides in length. Their secondary structure includes four short double-helical elements and three loops (D, anti-codon, and T loops). Further hydrogen bonds mediate the characteristic L-shaped molecular structure. tRNAs have two regions of fundamental functional importance: the anti-codon, which is responsible for specific mRNA codon recognition, and the 3' end, to which the tRNAs corresponding amino acid is attached (by aminoacyl-tRNA synthetases). tRNAs cope with the degeneracy of the genetic code in two manners: having more than one tRNA (with a specific anti-codon) for a particular amino acid; and 'wobble' base-pairing, i.e. permitting non-standard base-pairing at the 3rd anti-codon position. RNAcentral also lists the same sequence under 2 other names. Lineage: Bacteria; Pseudomonadati; Pseudomonadota; Gammaproteobacteria; Pseudomonadales; Pseudomonadaceae. The record is from RNAcentral.
GGCCGGAUGGCGAAGUGGUAACGCUACGGUCUGCAAAACCGUCAUGCGCGGGUUCGAAUCCCGCUCCGGCCUCCA